GAUGAACGCUGGCGGCGUGCCUAACACAUGCAAGUCGAGCGAGAAAUGAAGAGAAGAAACUUCGGUAGAUUUUCAUCAUGGAAAGCGGCGGACGGGUGAGUAACGCGUAGGCAACCUGCCCCGUACAGGGGGAUAGCCAUCGGAAACGAUGAUUAAGACCCCAUAAAGCGGAAUAUACACAUGUAAAAACCGUCAAAGAUUUAUCGGUAUGGGAUGGGCCUGCGUCUGAUUAGAUAGUUGGUAGGGUAACGGCCUACCAAGUCAACGAUCAGUAGCCGACCUGAGAGGGUGAACGGCCACAUUGGAACUGAGGCACGGUCCAAACUCCUACGGGAGGCAGCAGUGGGGAAUAUUGCACAAUGGAGGGAACUCUGAUGCAGCAACGCCGCGUGAAGGAAGAAGGUCUUCGGAUCGUAAACUUCUGUCCAAAAGGAAGAAGGAAGUGACGGUACUUUG
Molecule: ribosomal RNA, 456 nt
Filed under: Peptostreptococcaceae bacterium oral taxon 383
Lineage: Bacteria; Bacillati; Bacillota; Clostridia; Peptostreptococcales; Peptostreptococcaceae
Description: bacterial SSU rRNA
Rfam family: Bacterial small subunit ribosomal RNA
Source: RNAcentral